RNAcentral lists this transfer RNA (73 nucleotides) under Pseudomonadota bacterium. RNAcentral's name for it is "tRNA-Phe". It matches the Rfam family "tRNA". Rfam says of the family: Transfer RNA (tRNA) molecules are approximately 80 nucleotides in length. Their secondary structure includes four short double-helical elements and three loops (D, anti-codon, and T loops). Further hydrogen bonds mediate the characteristic L-shaped molecular structure. tRNAs have two regions of fundamental functional importance: the anti-codon, which is responsible for specific mRNA codon recognition, and the 3' end, to which the tRNAs corresponding amino acid is attached (by aminoacyl-tRNA synthetases). tRNAs cope with the degeneracy of the genetic code in two manners: having more than one tRNA (with a specific anti-codon) for a particular amino acid; and 'wobble' base-pairing, i.e. permitting non-standard base-pairing at the 3rd anti-codon position. RNAcentral also lists the same sequence under 5 other names. The record is from RNAcentral. Lineage: Bacteria; Pseudomonadati; Pseudomonadota.
GCCGAUGUAGCUCAGUUGGUAGAGCACACGACUGAAAAUCGUGGGGUCGUCAGUUCGAUCCUGACCGUCGGCA